Long non-coding RNA from Gasterosteus aculeatus aculeatus (three-spined stickleback), 1779 nucleotides. The record is from Ensembl. NCBI's taxonomy places the organism in Eukaryota, Metazoa, Chordata, Actinopteri, Perciformes, Gasterosteidae.
CAGAGGUGAAGAGGGUUUGCACAAGCGAGCACUGCAGCAAAGCGCAUGCAGAUCCAAACCAUCCCCGCCACCUUGGAUGGAAAACACUGUGUGAAUGCCUGCACCAUAUGCUGCUUCUGCGCUCUGCGCCAUGCAAAUGUUCGGGCUCGACAGUUGCGACGACACCAAGCCGGCUCCGCGCAUCGAGGAAAGCAUGGCACCGAGAGGACGCUCGGUUUGUGGGCAAAGGUGAUGGAUUGUUGGUAAGGAGCCAGCGGACAACAAUGUCUCCACCCAUAUGCUCCGGAUAGCGAGAAGGGAGACCGGACGAAGGCGCGACACGUGGCAGCCAGGCUUUGGCCUGCCACCAGAACCCGUCAUCACCCUCACCUGCUGGGAGCAGAAGAAUGAAACUACCGAAAACCUGCGAGCUGCAGUCCGGUAGCAAAAAAAAACAACAGAUUUCUUCUUCGGGGAAAGGACUCGGCUUUAGAUAUUAGAAUAGAAGCUCCGAGAGAUAAAAGGAUGUCGGAGGAACGCUCGGUUCAGUAUGUCAGCGUUCUGUGAAAUGUGCUCAAUGACUUGUCAUUCUACUGGGUCGAAUAAGAGGAUCAGCCCAUAAUCUUCUCUUGAGCAUGUCGAUGCGAGCCGAGUUUGUCUUAUUGAUGGUUUGAACAUUUGGUGUGACAUAACGGAGAAAAAUUGUUAUUUCAACGCUAUUUGUAAACACUCUGCAAAUAAAGUUUUAACAGAAUCGGAAAACAUGGAUGACUUUUAAUAAUUACAUAUAUACUUUUUGAAAUGAGGUCCAGUUUAUUUAAAUCUCAUCACAGCUUUUAUUGAAUUACAAGAAAACUUCACGUACGGACUUUUCAAUUAAUAAACUAAUUGUACCUCUGAAAACGGACAAAUCAGUGCAUUCAGUUAUUAACAAAUUGUGAUGAGGACAAUCUUGUUUCAACACUAAGUGUGGUUCUACAAAAAGACCACAGGACCAGAUAAAAAGGCGCCAAUUAUAGCAAUUUGCCAGAUUGAAAAUCAAAAAUUCAGUCAAAGAGAGAAAUCUCAAAACCCAAAGCAGUAGUUGAUUUUGUCGUAGGACCAAAUUAAAUGUGGGAGAGCUCCUGUAUCUGGCGCUUCAGUAAGUUACUGCCCUUCAAGAUAAGACCUUGUUGAGACUGCCAAUUGAUGAUUAAAUCCCAGAACAGGGAUCUACUAUCAAAAGAUGUUGACAGAAAACAGAGAGUAGGUGGGAAGUUAAAUAAAAGGCAUUUCUGCUGGCGACAACCGGAAUAAAGACAUAUCUAAACGUUUGCAAGGCAACGGUGAAUUAUGGCCUCAUUCUGCACUUCCAAUAUUUAUGUAUUUCAUGAAUAGAACUCGCAAAGCAUCGUGGCUCGAAGUUCACUGCAGAGUCCCGGGAGACAUCGAAGCAUUCUUAUUCCUCUGGUUCAAUGUUUUUAAUUAUAUGUUGGCAGGGCUUAAGAUCUCAUUAAAUUUGAGAGUAUCAUUUGGAUGCUUGAAAGACAGCUUAGUGUCAUUCAGUGCUUUGGUGAUGGAUAUAAUAAAUCCCAUGCUUUCUAAUCCUGCGAUGUUAAAUUCAUUUUCAAAACCUUGCAAAUAAAUCGCCAAAGACAACCUCUGAAAUGCGUAAUAGCAGAUGUCACAGCAUUCACAGACAAGUUGGAAUACCCUUAUUUCACAAGUGUCAGAUAAAGACAGAGAAGCCAAAAAAGCAAGUAGAGAGGAAACAGAUUGUUACCCUCCAAAGUAAGACAAACUCACUUUUGUACAUCACCC